RNAcentral lists this long non-coding RNA (3417 nucleotides) under Marmota monax (woodchuck). The record is from RNAcentral. Lineage: Eukaryota; Metazoa; Chordata; Mammalia; Rodentia; Sciuridae.
GACGUUCUUUGGAAGAGUGUGCACGCGAGCUGGUUGCGUUCUCUGAACCGCAGAACUUUGACUACGCAGGUCUAGGGACUUCCUGGGGUGGAUAAUAGGUCUGGGUAGAGGCUGGGAAUUUGCUUUGUGCUUCUGUGUUGGUUGUGGGAAGCAGCCAGAGUAAAUGGGUAGUAGCAGAAACGGUUGAAUGCAGUGACUUUAAUAUUGUACUGUGUUAAAAACUACCAACGUUUAAGGUUGCUGUCACAUCUUACUUCAUCGUCACAGUCUUGUUAAUAAGCCUGAUGUGCAGAUGAGGAAAUUGAUGUAAGCAUGAAAAGGUUACCCACUAGCAAGAGAUGAGAUGAAAAACCUGACUUUGUCUAAUGCACACGUGUGCUUUUACAUGAAGAACCCAGCUUCAGAGGUGAGGUUUCCAUCCUCACCCCUGAAUUUUCUGAGAGUAUUAUCAGAGCCCCUUGGAAACAAUCUUUUCUCUCAUUCUUCUUUUGACAAAAGCAGAAACACAUCCAGAGAGGUGAAGUGACUUUCCUAAAAUCACCCCAAGAGUCAAUGUUAGAGAAGACUGUGUAACUAAAUCUAUUAUCUCAAACCUGACCUCGGGCAAAGGAGGAUGAAAAACUUUAAGGUGAAGGAACCGUUCAGUCUCAAUUGUGUGGUAUUUGCAUGUUGUAUACAAUUUCCAAAAAAAUAAAUAAAACUGUACACUUAAAAGGGGUGGACUUUACUAUGUUUUAAUAACAACCUAAAUAUAGGAGCUGGGACUGUAGCUCAGUGUUAGAGCACAUCCAAGAGGCCCUGGGUUCAAUCCCCAGUACUGCAAAAUGCCUAAAGAAACAAAGAUGGAAAAGCAAACUGGGUGUGGUUGUGCACACCUGUAAUCCUAGCCCCUUGGGAGACUGAGACAGGAGGAUUGCAAGUUCAAAGCCAGCCUCAGCAACUUAGACUGUAUUUCAAAAAAUGAAAAAGGACUGGGGCUGUGGCUAAGCAGUUAAGUGCCCCUGGGUUCAAUCCCUGGUACCAAAACAAACAAACAAACAAAAAAAAACCCAGAACCCAGAUACACAGCAGUGUGCGGGCCUGUUUGAGACCACAGGAUAACCAGAGUAAAACAUUUUUUUUCCUCUAAGUCUUGAGUUUUGCUGAACAACCUGCCACACUGUAGAUGUUAUAAUACAACUACCAGACUGCUAUUGUUGUCCAUUCUUGGCCACUGACUACUUCUAAUUGGAGUUCAAGAGGCUGGAGUGGGGAAGAAAGGAGAGGAAAAAAAUAUCAAGACAAUGUACAAACCGGCAGUGGUGCCAAGCAGCUGGCCCAGCCAAGGAACCCAUAAAUAGACAUCUGUCUUCUGUCUAGGUUCAAGAUAAAAGCUAGAGUAAGUCAACAAAAGACUGUUUGCAAAAGGUCAUCAUGUUUUAAGGUGCUGAUUAUAAUAUAACCUGGUUGUAAGAAUAAAGACCCAUACUUUUUCUCCUUUCACCAUAUUAUUAUUGUUCCAGCUUCGCUCCCCAGAGGCACCCAGUUUCUUGGUGUUCUUCCAGAGAUCUUCCAUGAAAAAUUCUUAUAUUCUUGAAAACUUGAGGUGUUGCUUAUUGUCUCCUAGUUUUCACAUCCUUGUGGUCCAGUGUAGAGGUCUAACCUAUUAGAUUGAGUAAAAAAAUGCAUCCUGGACCCACCCAACCUAUUAUUGGCUGAGUAAUGGAAAACAGCCCUCUUUCUCCCCAAAAUAUUUAUAUUAGCUUUUGACAAGAUAAAAGGGAUCAUUUGUGAAAAAUGAACCUGGUAACCAAGAAUUCAAACUUUUUUCAUGUCCCUAGUGGAAGUUCUCUUAGUAUAGUUCACACAAAGAUGUAUAUGCCAACAAAUGAAAGGCCUAGGAACGUUGUAAUGAAGACAAGAUUGUUCCUCCCCUUUCUUCUUCCCUCCCUCAUCCCUGCCUUUUCUCUCUCCUUUUACAUCUACUCACAAGCAUUCAGUAUUUUCAGGGUUAAAAGUAGUGCAGGAGAUAAUCUUCCAUAUUUACAAAGAGAUAUUAAAGGAUUAGUAAGUUACUCUUACUGGGGUAUUUGCAAUUCCCAGAAGACUCCCUCAGAUAAUGAUCUCAAGAGUUGGGAGAAGGAUGACUACCCAUUAGGACAGGAAUAUCAAAAUAUUCAGAAAUUUGUUAAUAAUUUAAAAGAAAACAUUCUAUGGAAAAUUUCUUCAAGUACAGCAAAUACAAAACUAGACAAACUGGUAUGAUGAAUUCCAUUUACCCAUUAUUCAAAAAUUAUCACUCAAGGUUAUCUUGUUCUACAUAUUUGUAUAUUCACUGCCCCUGCCUAUAUGCUGUAUUAGUUUUUUAAGGCAAUCCCAGAAAUCAUAUUAUUUCAUCUAUAAAUAUUUUAGUAUCCACUUCUAAAAGACCAAUUUUUCUUUCUUCAAACAUAGCCAUAUGGCAUUAUUUUACCUAAAAGAUAUUAGUUGUGUAAUAUCUUCAUAUAUUCAAUUAGUUUUCUAUUUUCUGAUUGUCUCAUAAAUGUUUUUGUUUUAAACUUUGUUGGUUUAAUUUUAAUGUAUUCUGCUUUUCUCUAUUCUGUGAAUUGGUUGUUAGACCUAGAAUGUUGUGUAUGUGUGUGUGUGUGUGUAUCUAUAUAUCUAUAUCUAUCUAUAUCUAUAUCUAUAUAUAUAUAUAUAUAUAUAUGUGUGUAUAUAUAUAUAUAUAUAUAUAUAUAUAUAUAUAUAUAUAAAUUACAUGGACACAAUACCUUUAUUUUAUUUUUUUAAUGUGAUGCUGAGGUUUGAACCUAGUGCCUUCCACAUGCGAGGUCAACACUCUACCACUGAGCUACAACCCCAGCACUGGACCUAGACUUUUGAUCAAAUUUUUUAAGAGUUGAUAUGUUAUACUUCUAUCAUAAGGCAUAUGAUGUCUAAUUACGUUCCUUUUGUGAUGUUACCAAACAUGAUACACAACGUCUAAAUUCAUUAAUGCAUUCUAAUUCUACCUUAGGGGUAAUAUUUUAAUUCUAUCUUUUUUUUUUUUUUUAGAGUGGGAAGUUGAAGCUUUAUUAAAGGACACACAGCAGAAAAACUUUUCCUCAGAGGAAGACCCAAGAGGUGGAAACUAUGGAAGGGGGAGUUCUUCCCUCUUUUAUAGCUAAGGUUUACUUUCAGGUUUCCUGCAUUCCUGUCGCAUGUAUUCCUUUAAUUCUAUCUUUUCUUCUUUACUUACUGCCAGACUUUUCCCUUACAUAAAUUUUGAUCUCCCAGUAGUACAGCUUAUAUAGGAAGAAUACAUGCUUAAUUAUUUCCCUUUAUUUGCUAAUUUUCAACAUAAAGAAUUGGUCACUAAAUAUUCUAAAUGACAAUUGAGUUUGUGAUUUUGUUUCUAGUAUCAUAAUGAACUCAUGGAGUUACAUUGGUGAUUAAAUC